AAUUAUUCAAUUAAAAUUAUUCAAUCAAUCUUGUAACGAAAUUAUUCAAAGUCAUUUAAGUUGUGUGACUUUAUUUUAAAUCUAUUUCUGAUGGAUUUUUAUCUCUCAGUAAAUUUAAAGAUCGUAUUUCAAUUAUCUUUAUAAAUUAGCAGAUUAUUAAAAUUGAUUAGAAUUAUUUUUAAGUGUGGAUUCAGUUUCUUCUGAUCGUUUCGUUUCUAAAUUUAUAUGUACGGACAACACUUUCUUAAUAACGAAAUGCUUUUAUUUGAAAAUCAAAUUUAAUAUUAGAAAAUAUAAAUAAUGAAGUUUAAAAUUGCAAAAAAUAAAAACUUUUAGAACCUGUGCUUAUAUAUUGUUCAAAAUCUUGGGCUACAUCAAAAUUGUCUGAUUAUCUCCAUUAAUUUAUCAUUUUUGUUUUUUGCAUAGAUACUGCUUUUGUGCGUUGUAUUUUUCAGAAUUUACUGUCUUCAUGAUAUCCUGCUGAUGGACACUUUUCGAGAAGCUAAAACUUCAUCAGAUCAUUUUUAUGGUAAAGCCUAAUACGUGUCCAUGGAAAACGGAACGAUUUGAAGAUAUUACGAAGUACUCAUUCGCAUUCUUGCUGGCUUAAUAGCAUCUCAAACCAGAAUGGUCAUCUUAUUGUGAUCCUUUUGGCUUCAAAAUUCUCAAAAACAGCUACCCGGAGGUGCAGUCAGUCAAGAGCUUGCAGUGAUUCCUAGUAAUUUACUGUCUUCUUGAUAUCCUGCUGAUGGACACGUUUCGGGAAGCUAAAACUUCAUCAGAUCAUUUUUAUAGUAAAGAUUAAGACGUGUCUAUGGAAAACGGAACGAUUUGAAGAUAUUAAUGACGAAGUACUCAUUCGCAUUCUUGCUGGCCUAAUAGCAUCUCAAACCAGAAUGGUCAUCUUAUUGUGAUCCUUUUGGCUUCAAAAUUCUCAA
Molecule: non-coding RNA, 938 nt
Organism: Parasteatoda tepidariorum (common house spider)
Lineage: Eukaryota; Metazoa; Arthropoda; Arachnida; Araneae; Theridiidae
Source: RefSeq, a predicted model, not a curated record